UACGUAGGGGGCAAGCGUUAUCCGGAUUUACUGGGUGUAAAGGGAGCGUAGACGGCAGUGCAAGUCUGAAGUGAAAGGCAAGGGCUCAACCCUUGGACUGCUUUGGAAACUGUGCUGCUGGAGUGUCGGAGAGGCAAGUGGAAUUCCUAGUGUAGCGGUGAAAUGCGUAGAUAUUAGGAGGAACACCAGUGGCGAAGGCGGCUUGCUGGACGAUGACUGACGGUGAGGCGCGAAAGCGUGGGGAGCAAACAGG
This 253-nucleotide ribosomal RNA is filed under the name uncultured bacterium. Its description in RNAcentral is "partial 16S ribosomal RNA". It matches the Rfam family "Bacterial small subunit ribosomal RNA", at positions 524 to 776 of the family's 1533-position model. The record is from RNAcentral.